RNAcentral lists this unclassified non-coding RNA (579 nucleotides) under Hevea brasiliensis (rubber tree). The record is from RNAcentral. Lineage: Eukaryota; Viridiplantae; Streptophyta; Magnoliopsida; Malpighiales; Euphorbiaceae.
GGCAUAGCAAAUGUAUCUAGAUCCUAGAUGCUUAAUGGCAGAGCCACCGGGUCCAACCAGACCAAACGUGCCUGCACGCAACGACGAGAACCGGUUGAAGUACGCCUGUGACGCCGGAAUCUUAACGGACGAUUUCAACGCCAAUGACCUCGACGGCGAAGAUUCUAAUAGCACACCAAGUUUUGACUCCGAGAGCUGCAAGUCUCCGCGUCUGGAGGAUCUGGCGGCCAGUUUACGUGUCUUCUCUGAGUCGCUAGCGAGAAUGGAUCUGGCUGAGACAGAGAUGACCAGGGCGAGGGAGACUUGGCGGUGCGAGGCAGAGAAGAGGCGGAUGGAGUUGGAGGCCGAAUUGACUCGCCUGAUGUUGGGGACUCAGUUGCAGAUCGCAUUGAUUGUCGCAGGGAAGGGGCCGAGUAAGAAAAGGAAGCGAGCUGAAGAAAUGGAAGAUGAAUCAGGCAUCUCUCCAAGGCAAAGUCUUGAUCUCUCUUUCUUCAAUCAAAAGAUUAUCUUUACUCAAAUGUGUCGUUUAUUUGUGUGUGCUCGUGACUACAGGAAAGGAGCUUUAUUGCUAAGUUUGCU